CCUUGCCAGCCCGCUCAGAAACUUAAAUGAAUUGACGGGGCCCGCACAAGCGGUGGAGCAUGUGGUUUAAUUCGAUGAUACGCGAGGAACCUUACCUGGGCUCGAACGUAAGAUGACUGUAGGUGAAAGCUUACAUCUCUUCGGAGCAUUUUACGAGGUGCUGCAUGGUUGUCGUCAGCUCGUGCCGUGAGGUGUCGGGUUAAGUCCCAUAACGAGCGCAACCCCUACCUUUAGUUGCCAUCAGGUUAAGCUGGGGACUCUAAAGGAACUGCCUACGCAAGUAGUGAGGAAGGCGGGGAUGACGUCAAAUCAGCACGGCCCUUACGUCCAGGGCUACACACGUGCUACAAUGGCCGAUACAGAGGGCAGCUACCUGGUGACAGGAUGCAAAUCUCCAAAGUCGGUCUCAGUUCGGAUCGGAGUCUGCAACCCGACUCCGUGAAGUUGGAUUCGCUAGUAAUCGCGCAUCAGCCAUGGCGCGGUGAAUACGUUCCCGGGCCUU
This 502-nucleotide ribosomal RNA is filed under the name uncultured Sphingobacteriales bacterium. RNAcentral's name for it is "bacterial SSU rRNA". It matches the Rfam family "Bacterial small subunit ribosomal RNA", at positions 903 to 1382 of the family's 1533-position model. The record is from RNAcentral. Lineage: Bacteria; Pseudomonadati; Bacteroidota; Sphingobacteriia; Sphingobacteriales.